CGACGUAGCUCAGUUGGUAGAGCUACUGAUUUGUAAUCAGUGGGUCCGCGGUUCGAGUCCGUGCGUCGG
Molecule: transfer RNA, 69 nt
Filed under: bovine gut metagenome
Rfam family: tRNA
About the family: Transfer RNA (tRNA) molecules are approximately 80 nucleotides in length. Their secondary structure includes four short double-helical elements and three loops (D, anti-codon, and T loops).
Source: RNAcentral